RNAcentral lists this ribosomal RNA (670 nucleotides) under Sarocladium pseudostrictum. RNAcentral describes it as "LSU rRNA". It matches the Rfam family "Eukaryotic large subunit ribosomal RNA", at positions 151 to 848 of the family's 3401-position model. The record is from RNAcentral. Lineage: Eukaryota; Fungi; Ascomycota; Sordariomycetes; Hypocreales; Sarocladiaceae.
GUAGAGGAUGCUUUUGGCGAGGUGCCUUCCGAGUUCCCUGGAACGGGACGCCAUAGAGGGUGAGAGCCCCGUACGGUAGGACCACCGAGCCUCUGUAAAGCUCCUUCGACGAGUCGAGUAGUUUGGGAAUGCUGCUCUAAAUGGGAGGUGUACGUCUUCUAAAGCUAAAUACCGGCCAGAGACCGAUAGCGCACAAGUAGAGUGAUCGAAAGAUGAAAAGCACUUUGAAAAGAGGGUUAAAAAGUACGUGAAAUUGUUGAAAGGGAAGCAUUCAUGACCAGACUUGGGCUUGGUUGAACAUCCGGCGUUCUCGCCGGUGCACUCUGCCAGUUCAGGCCAGCAUCAGUUUGCUCCGGGGGACAAAGGCGGUGGGAAUGUGGCUCCCCUCGGGGAGUGUUAUAGCCCGCCGUGUAAUGCCCUGGAGCGGACUGAGGAACGCGCUUCGGCACGGAUGCUGGCGUAAUGGUCAUCAAUGACCCGUCUUGAAACACGGACCAAGGAGUCGUCUUCGUAUGCGAGUGUUCGGGUGUCAAACCCCUACGCGUAAUGAAAGUGAACGUAGGUGAGAGCUUCGGCGCAUCACCGACCGAUCCUGAUGUUCUCGGAUGGAUUUGAGUAAGAGCAUACGGGGCCGGACCCGAAAGAAGGUGAACUAUGCCUGUAUAGGGUG